This 688-nucleotide ribosomal RNA is filed under the name Karaftohelix adamsi. RNAcentral's name for it is "12S ribosomal RNA". Lineage: Eukaryota; Metazoa; Mollusca; Gastropoda; Stylommatophora; Camaenidae. The record is from RNAcentral.
CCAAUUAGUUAUGGUUUACGAGUUUACAAGGCCCAGGCUAUCUAUGAAAUGAGGACAGCUAUCAGACAGAAAUAUUAUACCAUUUAUGAAAGUAAGAUAUAACCAUUGCCUUUAUCUAUGUUAAAAAAAGUGCCAGCAAACGCGGUCAUACUUUUUUAGAAGUAAACAAAUAUAGGAGAUUCAGUAAUUUGUAGUUUUAUACAUGGUGAAAUAUUUAAGCCAACUUAAUACAAGCCAAUUUUUGCAAAUACAGGCCCUAAACAAGGAUUAGAUACCCUUUUAUACUGUAUACAUAAAAAUUCUUCGAGCACUACAACCUUUAUGGUUAAAACUCAAAUAACAUGGCGGUAAUUUUAAAAGUUAGGGGAACUUAUCAGGUAAUUGAUAACCACCAAGGUUAAUUUACUUUAUAUAAUAUUUUAUAUGCCGUCGUCGUCAGAUAUUUCUGAACGAAAUAUCUCAAUAUUAAAAUAAAAAGACAGAUCAAGGUGUAAACUAUGAUAAAGACCAGACGAGUUACAAUAAUUGUGCAGACGAAAAUUAGUAUUUUUUUCCGAAGUAGGACUUAAAUGUAAUAUGUAUAAAAUAUAACCUAUGAAUACAUCUAGAAUUAUGUACAAAUCGCCCGUCACUCUUAGGUUAACCUAAGAUAAGUCGUAACAUAGUAGGCGUAGCGGAAGCUGCUCCU